This 551-nucleotide ribosomal RNA is filed under the name uncultured Aeribacillus sp. RNAcentral describes it as "bacterial SSU rRNA". It matches the Rfam family "Bacterial small subunit ribosomal RNA", at positions 355 to 896 of the family's 1533-position model. Lineage: Bacteria; Bacillati; Bacillota; Bacilli; Caryophanales; Bacillaceae. The record is from RNAcentral.
UAGGGAAUCUUCCGCAAUGGACGAAAGUCUGACGGAGCAACGCCGCGUGAGCGAAGAAGGUCUUCGGAUCGUAAAGCUCUGUUGUCAGGGAAGAACAAGUACCGUUCGAACAGGGCGGUACCUUGACGGUACCUGACGAGGAAGCCACGGCUAACUACGUGCCAGCAGCCGCGGUAAUACGUAGGUGGCAAGCGUUGUCCGGAAUUAUUGGGCGUAAAGCGCGCGCAGGCGGCUCCUUAAGUCUGAUGUGAAAUCUCGCGGCUCAACCGCGAGCGGCCAUUGGAAACUGGGGAACUUGAGUGCAGGAGAGGGGAGCGGAAUUCCACGUGUAGCGGUGAAAUGCGUAGAGAUGUGGAGGAACACCAGUGGCGAAGGCGGCUCUCUGGCCUGUAACUGACGCUGAGGCGCGAAAGCGUGGGGAGCGAACAGGAUUAGAUACCCUGGUAGUCCACGCCGUAAACGAUGAGUGCUAAGUGUUAGAGGGUAUCCACCCUUUAGUGCUGCAGCAAACGCAUUAAGCACUCCGCCUGGGGAGUACGGCCGCAAGGCUG